UAUGAUUGGAAUACUGGAUUAUUCAUUAAAUAGCAUUUCAAUGUACUGCCUAUGUUGAGAUGACUCAGAAAGUUAGAAGUUGAAAUAAUGCAGUUUACCACUUCAUUUAGGCACUUUACAAACAUUAACGUAUAAUAAAAAUGUGAAUAACUGACAUUUUAUGUCAGUGGUGGUAGAAACGAUAAAUGCACAUAAUGAAGAGAACAAGGAAACAAAUCGAGUAUGUUUUACUCUAUGUGAAUUAUUUAUUCAUGUCAAACAAUUCUGUAGUACACAGUAUACUUGUAUAGUGCAUGGUACCAACUCUAGAAGGACAAAACUAUGCAUGUUUAGUGAUCUUCAAGAUGCUACACAAAAAUCCAAAUUUGGUUCAUGCUACAGAAUUGUAUGAAGCACAUAAGCCACUUCAAAAAGGACAUGGAGGAAGAAAGACCCACAGAAAACAAAAACUCUGAAGUACUUGGAGAAGUAGUCAGGAGUCUUGAUCAGAUGAUCACAGUCUUCAACAGAGAGUUUUUCCUCGAAUUCCAAACAGUCUGUGUUGUUGCCUUCAUUCUGUUCAACUACUUCACCCAUUAGGCUACAGCUGUGUGGUUAAAUGUCAAGAUAGAGAGAAAAGCAUGUCCUGCCAAUGUGGAUCCUCAACUCUGAACAUUCACUACCAGGGAGAAGCAGGAAGAGUUUCUGCAUCCCAUUUGAUUCUGCGCAAAGCUUUCUCUUGCAUAGGGCGAACAUUCAGUCGGUUCUACCAAGACAGGUGAGGGGAAGUGUCUGUCAAAUGAGAUGGAUGUUAGGACUCCCACACUGUCAUAAUGGCAGAGUUUUGGGGAGGAGGGAACUUGGCUGAUUGAAGUAGGCCAUUGUUGAUUAAUGCCAGUCCAUAAUCUGGUAAUACACUGAUGUACUUUGACAUAGACCGAUCAUGUAAUUGGCCUGGGCACAGCAGGAUGACUUUGUAGUUCGUUCAGCACACUGCUAUAAAACCAGCAGUCCUCCUUGUGUUGUUUCAGGGUUGUGCUUGUUUAGAGUUCUCUUGAGCCCUAUGAAACUCAUUUGAUGAGGGUGUGAUAGCCAGUGUUCACUUCUCAUGUGAUCCCCACAUGAGUACACAGUACCAAACUGGAGGAUUAGUUCACUUAUGGCUUCUGUCAAAUCUCAGCAGCCAGUAAUUUGUAAAUCUGAAAUGAGCAUCUCAUUACAAAUAUUAAUAAUAAUCCUCGUGAUUGAUAGAGCGUUUUACCACAUGCAUUCACACUGCUGGUCUUUUCUUUGGAACAUAUGGUUGUAAUAUUGAGCCGAAUAUUGUAAUAUUGAGUCACUUUGCAGAAAUUGCACAGGCAGAUGUUUUAAUUUAUUUCUGUUAAUUUUCACUUGCCAGCUAUGACUAUAGUGGAAAUAAUGUAAAUAUUUGUAUAUUCAAUUUAAAAUUUAAGCUCAGUUAUUUGACCUGUACAUUAUUUUCUUAGUCUUCAAAUAAAUUAUUUUGUCAUU
Molecule: long non-coding RNA, 1491 nt
Organism: Callorhinchus milii (elephant shark)
Lineage: Eukaryota; Metazoa; Chordata; Chondrichthyes; Chimaeriformes; Callorhinchidae
Exons: 2
Source: RefSeq, a predicted model, not a curated record